GACGAACGCUGGCGGCGUGCUUAACACAUGCCAGUCGAACGGAAAGGCCCUGCUUUUGUGGGGUGCUCGAGUGGCGAACGGGUGAGUAACACGUGAGUAACCUGCCCUUGACUUUGUGAUAACUUCAGGAAACUGGGGCUAAUACCGGAUAGGAUCUCCUGCUGCAUGGUGGGGGUUGGAAAGUUUCGGCGGUUGGGGAUGGACUCGCGGCUUAUCAGCUUGUUUGUGGGGUAGUGGCUUACCAAGGCUUUGACGGGUAGCCGGCCUGAGAGGGUGACCGGACACAUGGGGACUGAGAUACGGCACAGACUCCAACGGGAGGCAGCAGUGGGGAAUAUUGCACAAUGGGCGGAAGCCUGAUGCAGCAACGCAGCGAGCGGGAUGACGGCCUUCGGGUUGUAAACCGCUUUCGCAUGUGACGAAGCGUGAGUGACGGUAAUGGGUAAAGAAGCACCGGCUAACUACGUG
This 468-nucleotide ribosomal RNA is filed under the name uncultured bacterium. Its description in RNAcentral is "partial 16S ribosomal RNA". It matches the Rfam family "Bacterial small subunit ribosomal RNA", at positions 28 to 507 of the family's 1533-position model. The record is from RNAcentral.